RNAcentral lists this ribosomal RNA (497 nucleotides) under uncultured bacterium. RNAcentral describes it as "partial 16S ribosomal RNA". It matches the Rfam family "Bacterial small subunit ribosomal RNA", at positions 28 to 507 of the family's 1533-position model. The record is from RNAcentral.
GAUGAACGCUGGCGGCGUGCCUAAUACAUGCAAGUCGAGCGAACAGACGAGGAGCUUGCUCCUCUGACGUUAGCGGCGGACGGGUGAGUAACACGUGGAUAACCUACCUAUAAGACUGGGAUAACUUCGGGAAACCGGAGCUAAUACCGGAUAAUAUAUUGAACCGCAUUGUUCAAUAGUGAAAGACGGUUUUGCUGUCACUUAUAGAUGGAUCCGCGCCGCAUUAGCUAGUUGGUAAGGUAACGGCUUACCAAGGCGACGAUGCGUAGCCGACCUGAGAGGGUGAUCGGCCACACUGGAACUGAGACACGGUCCAGACUCCUACGGGAGGCAGCAGUAGGGAAUCUUCCGCAAUGGGCGAAAGCCUGACGGAGCAACGCCGCGUGAGUGAUGAAGGUCUUCGGAUCGUAAAACUCUGUUAUUAGGGAAGAACAAAUGUGUAAGUAACUAUGCACGUCUUGACGGUACCUAAUCAGAAAGCCACGGCUAACUACGUG